Molecule: ribosomal RNA, 450 nt
Filed under: uncultured bacterium
Lineage: Bacteria
Description: partial 16S ribosomal RNA
Rfam family: Bacterial small subunit ribosomal RNA
Source: RNAcentral
GUGGGGAAUAUUGGACAAUGGGCGAAAGCCUGAUCCAGCCAUGCCGCGUGUGUGAAGAAGGUCUUCGGAUUGUAAAGCACUUUAAGUUGGGAGGAAGGGCAGUAAGUUAAUACCUUGCUGUUUUGACGUUACCAACAGAAUAAGCACCAGCUAACUUCGUGCCAGCAGCCGCGGUAAUACGAAGGGUGCAAGCGUUAAUCGGAAUUACUGGGCGUAAAGCGCGCGUAGGUGGUUCAGCAAGUUGAAGGUGAAAUCCCCGGGCUCAACCUGGGAACUGCCUCCAAAACUACUGAGCUAGAGUACGGUAGAGGGUAGUGGAAUUUCCUGUGUAGCGGUGAAAUGCGUAGAUAUAGGAAGGAACACCAGUGGCGAAGGCGACUACCUGGACUGAUACUGACACUGAGGUGCGAAAGCGUGGGGAGCAAACAGGAUUAGAAACCCUGGUAGUCC